Sycon ciliatum is the source of this 533-nucleotide long non-coding RNA. RefSeq lists it as uncharacterized. NCBI's taxonomy places the organism in Eukaryota, Metazoa, Porifera, Calcarea, Leucosolenida, Sycettidae. The transcript has 3 exons. The record is from RefSeq and is a predicted model, not a curated record.
CCUCACAAUCCGUCUUUUGCCGUUUCACCACUUCCACCUCUUGGUUUCCUUCGUUAUUGAUCACUGACGCAGAAGAGUUAACACUCUUUCACCGUCUUAGUAUGAUCUGAAGACAACGCUGAGUGACAGUCCCGGGUUGUCAAAAAAGAAGACCGGGAAGAGGGGCGGCAGCUUCUAUAUUGCUACACUUUCGUCCAAGUUUCGAAGGAAUUCCGUCUCCCAAGUGAAUCAUCAUGACCAAAUCGAGCGCUGGCGCUCUUUGCGUCGUCCAUAUCCUUCUCCUCUUUUCGCUUGUAUCACUUCAGACCUGGAGACCAGCCAACGCACAAGAUACCGGCAGUGGUGGUUCUGAAAAUACUACUUUACUGCCAACAACAAUGUCACCAACAGUGAAUAGCACGUCGCCAAUGACAGAGCCAGAAAGCACAGCUACUGGAAAUGCAAGUACUGGAGAAACAGCUUCAUCAGCAACAACCAUGGUGUCGAGCACUACCCUGUCGCCAAGCAUACUACCAACAAAUACCACGCCAACA